GACGGAGGAUGCAAGCGUUAUCCGGAAUGAUUGGGCGUAAAGCGUCCGCAGGUGGCAGUUCAAGUCUGCUGUCAAAGACCGGGGCUUAACUUCGGAAAGGCAGUGGAAACUGAACAGCUAGAGUAUGGUAGGGGCAGAGGGAAUUCCUGGUGUAGCGGUGAAAUGCGUAGAGAUCAGGAAGAACAUCGGUGGCGAAGGCGCUCUUCUGGACCAUAACUGACACUCAGGGACGAAAGCUAGGGGAGCGAAUGGG
This 253-nucleotide ribosomal RNA is filed under the name uncultured bacterium. Its description in RNAcentral is "partial 16S ribosomal RNA". It matches the Rfam family "Bacterial small subunit ribosomal RNA", at positions 524 to 776 of the family's 1533-position model. The record is from RNAcentral.